GUGCUCUCUUCAACAUCCCAUAUACUAAAAUUCGAACUGUACUGAGAAGCUCAUGGCCCCUGUGUAAGUAUGAUAUGCAUAUUCGUGAAGCAUCCCAUAUUUUU
RNAcentral lists this small nuclear RNA (104 nucleotides) under Meriones unguiculatus (Mongolian gerbil). The record is from RNAcentral. Lineage: Eukaryota; Metazoa; Chordata; Mammalia; Rodentia; Muridae.